This 292-nucleotide long non-coding RNA is filed under the name Amazona collaria (yellow-billed parrot). Its description in RNAcentral is "lncRNA (ENSACOG00000017141.1)". Lineage: Eukaryota; Metazoa; Chordata; Aves; Psittaciformes; Psittacidae. The record is from RNAcentral.
UUUCAGGCAUGUAAUCAAGAGUUCCAGGACUCCUUGCUUUACUUUGUGUGAUCCAUAUUGGUUUCCAAGUGCACUACUGAAUAACGCAGUAGACUUCCUACAGGCAUGAUGGAAGAGGGAGGUGGGGAAGAAGAGGCUUCCACUCAUAUUUAAAUAUUCUGUUCCCAUCCCAAUGCAACAUGGGGAUAAUCAUGGAAUGCAGAUGAAAAUGAAGCCUGCUAAAUCUAUCGAAGAAAUGACAUUGAAUGAUCAAUGUACUGUAAUGCAUCUCAGCCCCUGUGCCAGGCAGUGA